RNA transcript from Spodoptera frugiperda (fall armyworm), 3178 nucleotides. It is a transcript of the gene named CCAAT/enhancer-binding protein gamma-like, with no coding region annotated. The transcript has 3 exons. The record is from RefSeq and is a predicted model, not a curated record. Lineage: Eukaryota; Metazoa; Arthropoda; Insecta; Lepidoptera; Noctuidae.
UGACACAUUUUAUUAAACUUCACUCUUCAUUCAACGAAAUCUAUUUUUAUGUUUGUGUUCGAGUAUUACGCAUCAAGAGCUGAGUAAUUUUAUGAGCAGCUUGCAAACGUGUUAUUGUUGUUUUUGUUUUGAAAUCUAGUGACAUAAGAUAGAUAAAUUAAAGGAACUUCCUAGGAAAAAGACUGAAAGACAUUUCGACAGCUACAGUAAAUAGUUUUAAAAGUAAAAGUAUCACAUCGAUCAGUGCGUCACAAAUUUCUGGAAAAAACAGUAACAUAUUGUCGCAGCGCUAGUAACAUCCCUCUUAAACCUUCAAAAGUGUGUUGAAAGUAAACUAAAGUGAAUUUUAAGAGCGCAGAGCGGCGUUUGUCGUAGAAGCAGUUUGAUGAUAUUAGACGAGCUUGAGGAGUUCUUCGAUAUGGCUCCAACCAAGCGCGGGAGACGAGGAGUCAGUGACGCUGACGAUGAGGAUGAUGAGUAUAGACGGAAACGUGACAGAAAUAAUGAGGCAGUUAAAAAGAGCAGAGUGAAGUCCAAGCAGCAGACACAGGACACAUUCUCCCGAGUGAAGCGACUUAAGGAAGAGAACCAACAACUGGAAGACACCACCAAACGGUUGACCAAAGAACUGGAGUUACUGAAGGAACUCUUCAUUGCUACCGCAGCCAACAAAUCAGACCCCAAGUUUGAGGGCAUGGAUCUUGAGAAACUGCUUGAAGAUACUCCUGAAGUUAAGUUUUAAUCAAUGUAGUGUCUAUUGGUUUUUACUUAGGGUUUCGUACGAGUUUGUUUUAUGUUUAAUGAGAUGGAAAUGAGACCGCGUUUGGCACACAGUAUGCUUAGUAUGAGACUAUGAUGCUUUACGUUGAACGAAUGAAAGAAGUGCGUUCGGCGCUCUGAUUGGUUGGUUAACUUGGAGCUGGUCAAUCAGAGAGCCGAACGCGCUCUCUUUUCGAUUACUUUAAACGAUUUAACCCCGUACUCAGAGUUAUUUAAUGAUUACUUAACCCAGUCCUUAGUAAGUGUUUUCGAUACAAAAUCAUUACUAAGGAAUAGUUUAAGUAAUCAUUAAAUGUCUCUGAGUGCAGCAGAAAGAUCGUUUUAUUUGCCAAAACAUGUGUAGGUCAUAAUAAUACAUGCAAAAACUGAUAUUUACUAUUAAUGGUGGUUAAGUAGAAGAAACAUAAAAAUUAGUGCCGGAUUAGCCAUAUAGGAGGAGGCAACAAAUACUAUGGGCCCCGCGCCCAUGCCGGUGUCCAAAUUAUCAAAAAACCGACUUCAAAAACCAUAUACUAAAACCACGUUCACAUUUGCUACGAGCCCCGCGUCGGCUUUAUCCGGCACUGCAUAAAAUGUAGUAUUUAAUAGGUCCUUCUUAAGAUAUUUGACUUAUAACCUAUAAGUACAUUGUCCUAGGAUUAAAUCGCGAAUUUAUCUCUGUAAUAAAAGCUAGUAUUGCACGUUAUUUGAGAUCGAUCUGUGAUUUUAACUGUGAUUUAUUUAUUUAUAAGUCGAAGCAUUAUGUAUUGAUGUAGAAUAUCAUUAUUGUGUACGGUUUAUCCAUAUGAUAGCCGGACUUAUGGCAGUAUGUCUACCAUCUUCACCAUCAAGCCCUCAUUGCUGAGGAUCCUGACUCCAUAAACAAUCAACAGCACAUAUCUAUUUGUCACAGUUAGUAGCCUAGUGUAGUGCUUUACUGACUGGGAUUUCCAGCUGCAGAUAUUUGGGGCCUUAGUACGAUUAUACUUUACGUUUAACAAGAUCGAAAAGAGACAGAGCGCGUUCGGUGUUGUGAUUAGUUGGUUUAUUCGAGCCGGCCAAUCACAGUUCCGAACGCGCUCUCGUUUCGAUCUCGUUAAACGUAAACUCAUACCUACUAAGGCCCCUCAUUCACAUUUUGUCAGUCCUUAUACAUUUUGACUUGUUUUAUUGCAUUUGACUAGUGUUUCUGCAGUUUGUAUGUAGGUGGAUUAGAUCAUUUCUCUGUGCAUUUAAGUGUUUCAUUAGCCGUUGUAAACCUUCAGUAAAAUAAUAUUCUCUUUAGUCAAUAAGGUGGUUUUUUGUACAACUAUUUAUAAUGUUUGGAAGAUCUAUCAUUAAAUCUUUUAAUUAUAACUCCUAGAAGAAAGAAAGUGUUUUCAGAGCUGAAAUAAGAAGUUGAAUAUAAGAAGCCCUUUAGAAUAUAAUUCUCGAUUGAAUUCUUAUUAUUAUCUGUGAUAGUUUAGGUCAUAUGACGUAAAUAUUUUCCGCUAAGCUUCGUGUCUUUAGAAUGGGAUAGCAAUAAAGACUGUUUUGAUCCCCAUACUAUAGUAUUCGCUGUCCUUCUCGCACCUUUUCAAUAUGGCUGCGAAUCUUGGCGGGUUUUACGCACAAAUAUGUUUUCAGAACAAAAUUAUUAUGGAUGAAUUAGUAUUGUAUUAUUAUAUUGUGUUGUAAUCAAUUCAUUGUUGUAUUUUGUCUUUAGUUUUAAGGAGUUAUUGUGUAAGUAAAUUGCAUUACUUUGAGCAGUCUUUUUCAUUUAAUGUUCUACAGGAUAUUUUCUCGAAAAUGUUUGUUAAUCCAGAAAGAAGUAAAGAUAUGAGAUCUAAAAUUCAAAUUGUUAUUUAUAUUCCCUUUCAAAUUGUUAUUUAUAUUUUUAAGAAAAUUAUAUUAAACUGGUUGCUUACCUUAAGGUCAGUUCAUACAAGAGCAGAGUCAAAGCGCAUUCUUCGAAUUUCGCGUCUGCGCGUGAUUGCGCCUUUUUAAAAUCUCAGAAGUAAUGGGUGCGUUACGCUGUGAAGUUAAGGUGAAUUUGUUAUGUUCAGUUUUGGAAAGACGAUUCGAUGCGCUUGGACAUAGAAAUAUUUGUGGCAUGUCACACGAUGCUUACACCACUCUUAUUACUCUACUACUACACCUUGCCACAUUGAAUAUGGGAUAUACAUACCUUUUUCUUCUUUAUAAAUAAAGCAACAAAAAUACUCAUAACAUUUUUAUUAUGCAAAAAUAGAAUCUUACCAACUACAAUAAUUAUUACGUACAAACUGUUUGUUUCGUGGUACCCCGAACACUUUCAAGCUCGAAACGGGUCCCAAAACAAACAUCGUACUGAAAUAUUAUCCACGAAUUUUAUAAUUAGGUAUUUAUUAUGUAAGGAUUUAUUAAUUAUACUAUUAAAUAUACAUUUGAUACAAUUAUA